GCGCAGCAGGCGAGAAUACUUCACAAUGUGCGAAAGCACGAUGAGGGAAUCCCAAGUGCUUGCACGUAAGUGUAAGCUGUUUCUCUGUCUAAAACGCAGAGAGAGUAAGGGCUGGGUAAGACGGGUGCCAGCCGCCGCGGUAAUACCUGCAGCUCGAGUGGUGACCGUUAUUAUUGGGCCUAAAACGUCCGUAGCCGGUUUAAUAAAUGCCUGGGUAAAUCGGACCGCUUAACGGUUCGAAUUCCGGGUAGACUGUUAAACUUGAGACCGGGAGAAGUUAGAGGUGCUCCUGGGGUAGGAGGUAGAAAUUCU
RNAcentral lists this ribosomal RNA (312 nucleotides) under uncultured microorganism. Its description in RNAcentral is "bacterial SSU rRNA". It matches the Rfam family "Archaeal small subunit ribosomal RNA", at positions 330 to 641 of the family's 1478-position model. The record is from RNAcentral.